Molecule: ribosomal RNA, 253 nt
Filed under: uncultured bacterium
Lineage: Bacteria
Description: partial 16S ribosomal RNA
Rfam family: Bacterial small subunit ribosomal RNA
Source: RNAcentral
UACGGGGGGGGCAAGCGUUGUUCGGAAUUACUGGGCGUAAAGGGUGCGUAGGCGGCUUUCUAAGUCGGAUGUGAAAACUCCGGGCUCAACCCAGAGCCUGCAUCUGAAACUGGAGAGCUAGGGUUCUGGAGGGGAAAGCGGAAUUCCUGGUGUAGCGGUGAAAUGCGUAGAUAUCAGGAGGAACACCGGUGGCGAAGGCGGCUUUCUGGACAGAUACCGACGCUGAGGCACGAAAGCUAGGGGAGCAAACAGG